RNAcentral lists this non-coding RNA (45 nucleotides) under Schistosoma curassoni. The record is from RNAcentral. Lineage: Eukaryota; Metazoa; Platyhelminthes; Trematoda; Strigeidida; Schistosomatidae.
AUCCAGCUGACAAGUCCCAAACAAGAUGAAAGGCGCAUCCUGGAU